AUUAAUAAUGAAAAUAAGGGCAGUUUUUUCUGCUUUAUGAUUGCUGAUUCGUGGCAAGACAGACAGGCAUAGGGUGGUCGUUCCCCACCCUGUGUUCAUCGCCACUCAUCAAUCUUCAGGGUAGCUUCGCUACCCUUUUUUUACCGGAGUUUG
RNAcentral lists this small RNA (153 nucleotides) under Prodigiosinella confusarubida. RNAcentral's name for it is "Serratia sp. ATCC 39006 sroC RNA". It matches the Rfam family "sroC RNA". Rfam says of the family: This family consists of a number of bacterial sroC RNA genes of around 160 bases in length. sroC is found in several Enterobacterial species. Lineage: Bacteria; Pseudomonadati; Pseudomonadota; Gammaproteobacteria; Enterobacterales; Pectobacteriaceae. The record is from Rfam by way of RNAcentral.